Molecule: ribosomal RNA, 254 nt
Filed under: uncultured bacterium
Lineage: Bacteria
Description: partial 16S ribosomal RNA
Rfam family: Bacterial small subunit ribosomal RNA
Source: RNAcentral
UACAGGGGGGGCAAGCGUUGUUCGGAAUUACUGGGCGUAAAGGGUCUGUAGGUGGCCAACUAAGUCAGACGUGAAAUCCCUCAGCUUAACUGGGGAACUGCGUCUGAUACUGGAUGGCUUGAGUGCAGGAGAGGAAUGCGGAAUUCCAGGUGUAGCGGUGAAAUGCGUAGAUAUCGAGAGGAACACCAGAGGUGAAGACGGGUUGCUGGGCCGACACUGACGCUGACAGCGCGAAAGCCAGGGGAGCAAACGGG